GGGCAGUUGGCGGAGUGGUCAAUCGCAACAGACUGUAAAUCUGUCGGGCUAUGCCCUACGGAGGUUCAAAUCCUUCACUGCCCA
Molecule: transfer RNA, 84 nt
Filed under: bacterium
Lineage: Bacteria
Description: tRNA-Tyr
Rfam family: tRNA
About the family: Transfer RNA (tRNA) molecules are approximately 80 nucleotides in length. Their secondary structure includes four short double-helical elements and three loops (D, anti-codon, and T loops).
Source: RNAcentral